Molecule: ribosomal RNA, 305 nt
Filed under: uncultured bacterium
Lineage: Bacteria
Description: bacterial SSU rRNA
Rfam family: Bacterial small subunit ribosomal RNA
Source: RNAcentral
CAAACCUUACGGGAGGCAGCAGUGAGGAAUAUUGGUCAAUGGGCGGAAGCCUGAACCAGCCAAGUCGCGUGAGGGAAGAAGACCCUGCGGGUCGCAGACCUCUUUGGACGGGGAGCAAGGCCGCCGACGUGUCGGCGGAAGGAGAGUACCCGUAGAAAAAGCAUCGGCUAACUCCGUGCCAGCAGCCGCGGUAAUACGGAGGAUGCGAGCGUUAUCCGGAUUUAUUGGGUUUAAAGGGUGCGCAGGCGGACCAUCAAGUCAGCGGUAAAAUCGUGGGGCCCAACCCCAUCCCGCCGGUGAAACUG